AGAGCGGGAGAAGGAGCACCAGCAGCACAACUCCUGCAAGUUAAACAAAAAAAAGAAAAAACAGGCUCGUCCGCGGGACAGCGCCGAGGCUCGGCAUCCCGCCAGGCGCUCCCGUCCCCCGCCAGAUCCACCUCGCCGGCGGUCCCGCCGCGGUGAUGGGAGGAAGCCUGGCCGAGGCCGCCAAGUCUUGCACGCUCUAAGUCGCCUUGGCGCUGCGGCUGGAAGAUGCUCCGCGCGGCAGGACCGCGUUGCUGCUGACGAGCCCCCGCGGAGUGGAAGAUGCCUUGCUUUGGGAUUACGCGUGGAGAAAGGCCAUCAGUCAAGGGGAGAGCUGGCUGGUGAACCUCUCUGACUUUCCCCCCCUCCGGGGAAGUGGCUUCAAUGGCUCCAUCUCCCAGGAGAAGCAGUAGGAAAGAUGCCAACGCCUUGCCAAGCAUGUCCUCAACUUUCUGGGCUAUCAUGAUCCUGGCUAGUCUCCUAAUCGCUUACUGCACUGAAAUAACGCAACAGCCCCAGAUGAAUCUACCUCCUCAGCUACCUCCAAAUAUUGUCUCCUCUUUAACAAACAAUGCAGCUAAAACCAUCCAAGGAGAAAAACAGCAAGAUCAGCUCUUCCUACCCAGCUCCAGAACAGCUUCUUCACAUCUUUCUAAGCAACAAACAACGAG
Molecule: long non-coding RNA, 668 nt
Filed under: Dromaius novaehollandiae (emu)
Lineage: Eukaryota; Metazoa; Chordata; Aves; Casuariiformes; Dromaiidae
Description: lncRNA (ENSDNVG00000010206.1)
Source: RNAcentral